Molecule: long non-coding RNA, 1304 nt
Organism: Ictalurus punctatus (channel catfish)
Lineage: Eukaryota; Metazoa; Chordata; Actinopteri; Siluriformes; Ictaluridae
Source: Ensembl
GAAGAAAACAGAAGAAAGAAAGAAAGAAAGAAAGAACUUAAGAAAGAGGAUUAGCACCCCAGUGUUUUGUAGGGUGGUGUAUAAAAUAAGUAGAAGACACUUCUGUCAAAAAUGGAAAUAAAUUGUUUAAAAACAUUCAGCACUUGUUACUGCUUGUUUCCGAUUCGUUUUAGUUCCGACGUCCGCUGCUGCAGCGAAACUUUCGCAAUCCGCCGACGCUCUGCUGUCCUGCUUUACACGAGGGUGGAGGAGGUAGCUAGGCAUGUACAUGUACAUGCCAUUUUAGAGUGCGUGUGUAUGUGUGUGUGUGUGUGUGUGUGUGUGUGUGUGUGUGUGUGUGUGGAGCGUGUCAUCACAUUUAAGGUCUUCAAAGUCUUGUUGGAGAGCAGCUGCUGGAUAAACAAUCAAACAUGAAGAACAUUUUUCUCCCACAGACAGUGAUUUCAGUCUUUAAUCAGAUUGAAUAAAUUCAUAAAGGCUAGAUAUCAAAUCAUCAGCUUUAAGAUUCAGAUCCGAGUCCUACAGAUGCUGUUUCUCCUCUGACACAAAGCUGUCAUCACUUUUUUUUAAACAAGUCACUGGUAUUUGAGAAUCAACCAUUAUGUAAUCAGAUGUGGGCGUUACCUAACACACACUGUAAACACAACAACAACAACAACAACAACACGCUCAGAUCCCUUCCUGUUCUUAUUACAUGAUAUUCCUAACGCGAACGUGUGUAACCCUUUCAUGUGUUUAAAAUAAUUGAUUCAUAUCAUUUAUUUAUUUGCUUCACUUCAUUUGCGUGUUAUUACUUAAACUGCGUGUUCUAUUCAUUUUAACCUUUAAAACACUUACAAAAAUAAACGUAUUUAUUUAUAGGAACAGCAAAAAAAUUACGUCUCAAAUUUAACAACAACAACAACAAAAAAAAAAACAUUCAAUGUGUUUCUAAAUAAAACCUGUAAACAUUCAGCUCUUAAACUAUUUAAGAUUUGUGCCCAAACUAUAGAAAUGAUCAUUUGUAUAACAAAUUCUUGAUAUACGAUGCAUCUGAUUCUGCAGGUAAAACCGUCUAUCUUCAGUUUAAAGCCAAAAGUCAACUGGAUUAAAAAGUAUGCUUUAAAUAAUAGGCGUACAAACUUUUGUUUUUAAAGAUAUACCAAACUGCAUCUACAGGAGGAAUCGUUCUUAAACUUAUUGCCCGUAAAUGCAUGAAAGUGUUAAAGCGCUAACUGCCUUAUUCUCCUACACGUGAGCUAACAACCGCUUCUGAUUGGCCGUCAUCGUUUUGAUUGACAGGGGAGGGAGAGAAUAAAUCCGCC